GGUUAAAGCUGCGAUUCGCCCUUAGAGUUUGAUCCUGGCUCAGGAUUAACGCUGGCGGCGUGGGAACUGCAAGUCGAACGCCCUCGGCUUUUACGGAAGAGAGGGGGUGGCGGACGGGUGAGUAAGACAUGGGUGACCUACCCCACAGUGAGGGAUACCGGCGAGAAAUCGCCGAAACGAGACGGAUAGGCUCGCUCUGGUCGAGCGGAGCGAGCAAAGGUUCUUUCGGGAGCCGCUGUGGGGUGGGCCUGUGGCCGAUUAGCUGGUUGGGGGGGUAAGAGCCUCCCAAGGCGACGAUCGGUAGCUGGUCUGAGAGGACGAACAGCCACACUGGGAUUGAGAACGGCCCAGACUCCUACGGAGGGCAGCAGUGAGGAAUUUUCCGCAAUGGACGUUUUUCUUUUUGGAGCAACGCCGCGUGCAGGAGGACGCUUUUCGGAGUGUAAACUGCUUUUCUGUGGGACGAGCGAGGACGGUACCACAGGAAGAAGCCCCGGCUAACUACGUGCCAGCAGCCGCGGUAAUACGUAGGGGGCGAGCGUUGUCCGGAGUUACUGGGCGUAAAGGGCAUGCAGGCGGUCGGACGCGUUUUGUGUGACAGCGGAUGGCUUACCUAUCCGAGCAUACGAAAGACGGUUUGACUUGAGGACUCGAGAGGGACACGGAAUUCCGGGUGGAGUGGUGAAAUGCGUAGAGAUCCGGAGGAACACCGAAAGCGAAAGCAGUGUCCUGGCGAGUGACUGACGCUGAGUGCGAAAGCCAGGGGAGCGAACGGGAUUAGAUACCCCGGUAGUCUGGGCGUAAACGAUGACACCAAGUGUGGGAGGUAUCGACUCCUUCGUGCGGAGUAACACAUUAAGUGGUCGGCUGGGGGAGUACGUCGCAGAUAAACUCAAAGAAUGACGGGGACCGCCAGCAGCGAGCCGUGGGGUUAUCGAUGCAACCGAAAACUUACCAGGGUUGAAUUGC
RNAcentral lists this ribosomal RNA (969 nucleotides) under uncultured soil bacterium. RNAcentral describes it as "SSU rRNA". It matches the Rfam family "Bacterial small subunit ribosomal RNA", at positions 1 to 989 of the family's 1533-position model. The record is from RNAcentral.